RNAcentral lists this ribosomal RNA (795 nucleotides) under Dechloromonas sp. PVC(72hr)15. Its description in RNAcentral is "bacterial SSU rRNA". It matches the Rfam family "Bacterial small subunit ribosomal RNA", at positions 195 to 971 of the family's 1533-position model. Lineage: Bacteria; Pseudomonadati; Pseudomonadota; Betaproteobacteria; Rhodocyclales; Azonexaceae. The record is from RNAcentral.
UGAGCAGGAAAGCAGGGGAUCGCAAGACCUUGCGCUGAUUGAGCGGCCGAUAUCAGAUUAGCUAGUUGGUGGGGUAAAGGCCUACCAAGGCGACGAUCUGUAGCGGGUCUGAGAGGAUGAUCCGCCACACUGGAACUGAGACACGGUCCAGACUCCUACGGGAGGCAGCAGUGGGGAAUUUUGGACAAUGGGGGCAACCCUGAUCCAGCCAUGCCGCGUGAGUGAAGAAGGCCUUCGGGUUGUAAAGCUCUUUCGGCCGGGAAGAAAUCGCGCAGGCUAAUACCCUGUGUGGAUGACGGUACCGGAAUAAGAAGCACCGGCUAACUACGUGCCAGCAGCCGCGGUAAUACGUAGGGUGCGAGCGUUAAUCGGAAUUACUGGGCGUAAAGCGUGCGCAGGCGGUUUCGUAAGACAGAGGUGAAAUCCCCGGGCUCAACCUGGGAACUGCCUUUGUGACUGCGAGGCUAGAGUACGGCAGAGGGGGGUGGAAUUCCACGUGUAGCAGUGAAAUGCGUAGAGAUGUGGAGGAACACCGAUGGCGAAGGCAGCCCCCUGGGCCGAUACUGACGCUCAUGCACGAAAGCGUGGGUAGCAAACAGGAUUAGAUACCCUGGUAGUCCACGCCCUAAACGAUGUCAACUAGGUGUUGGGUGGGUAAAACCAUUUAGUACCGUAGCUAACGCGUGAAGUUGACCGCCUGGGGAGUACGGCCGCAAGGUUAAAACUCAAAGGAAUUGACGGGGACCGCACAAGCGGUGGAUGAUGUGGAUUAAUUCGAUGCAACGCGAAAAACCU